GCCUUUGUGGUGUAACGGUAGCACACUCGGCACGCAUUGGAGAGAUCCAGGUUCGAGUCCCAGCGAAGGCA
This 71-nucleotide transfer RNA is filed under the name Stegodyphus mimosarum. It matches the Rfam family "tRNA". From Rfam's summary of the family: Transfer RNA (tRNA) molecules are approximately 80 nucleotides in length. Lineage: Eukaryota; Metazoa; Arthropoda; Arachnida; Araneae; Eresidae. The record is from Rfam by way of RNAcentral.